GGGUGAGUAACACGUAGGGAACCUGCCCGUGCACCGNGAAUACGCUCUGGAAACGGAGAACAAAUCCCGAUGUACAGGAAGGAGGCAUCUUCUUUCUGUGAAACAUCCUUUAGGGGAUGUGGCGCGGAUGGACCUGCGGUGCAUUAGUUGGUUGGCGGGGUAAAGGCCCACCAAGACGAUGAUGCAUAGCCGGCCUGAGAGGGCGGACGGCCACAUUGGGACUGAGACACGGCCCAGACUCCUGCGGGAGGCAGCAGUAGGGAAUUUUCGUCAAUGGGCGCAAGCCUGAACGAGCGAUGCCGCGUGAGUGAAGAAGGCCUUCGGGUCGUAAAGCUCUGUUGCGGGGGAAAAAAGGCAGCAUCAGGAAAUGGGUGCUGACUGAUGGUGCCCCGCCAGAAAGUCACGGCUAACUACGUGCCAGCAGCCGCGGUAAUACGUAGGUGGCGAGCGUUAUCCGGAAUGAUUGGGCGUAAAGGGUGCGCAGGCGGUCCUGCAAGUCUGGAGUGAAACGCAUGAGCUCAACUCAUGCAUGGCUUUGGAAACUGGAGGACUGGAGAGCAGGAGAGGGCGGUGGAACUCCAUGUGUAGCGGUAAAAUGCGUAGAUAUAUGGAAGAACGCCAGUGGCGAAGGCGGCCGCCUGGCCUGUUGCUGACGCUGAGGCACGAAAGCGUGGGGAGCAAAUAGGAUUAGAUACCCUAGUAGUCCACGCCGUAAACGAUGAGGACCAAGUGUUGGGG
RNAcentral lists this ribosomal RNA (738 nucleotides) under uncultured bacterium. RNAcentral describes it as "bacterial SSU rRNA". It matches the Rfam family "Bacterial small subunit ribosomal RNA", at positions 104 to 828 of the family's 1533-position model. The record is from RNAcentral.